This 497-nucleotide ribosomal RNA is filed under the name uncultured bacterium. RNAcentral's name for it is "partial 16S ribosomal RNA". It matches the Rfam family "Bacterial small subunit ribosomal RNA", at positions 28 to 507 of the family's 1533-position model. The record is from RNAcentral.
GAUGAACGCUGGCGGCGUGCCUAAUACAUGCAAGUCGAGCGAACGGACGAGUAGCUUGCUUUUCUGAUGUUAGCGGCGGACGGGUGAGUAACACGUGGAUAACCUACCUAUAAGACUGGGAUAAAUUCGGGAAACCGGAGCUACUACCGGAUAAUAUUUUGAACCGCAUGGUUCAAAAGUGAAAGACGGUCUUGCUGUCACCUAUAGAUGGAUCCGCGCUGCAUUAGCUAGUUGGUAAGGUAACGGCUUACCAAGGCAGCGAUGCAUAGCCGACCUGAGAGGGUGAUCGGCCACACGGGAACUGAGACACGGUCCAGACUCCUACGGGAGGCAGCAGUAGGGAAUCGUCCGCAAUGGGCGAAAGCCUGACGGAGCAACGCCGCGUGAGUGAUGAAGGUCUUCGGAUCGUAAAACUCUGUUAUUAGGGAAGAACAUAUGUGUAAGUAACUGUGCACAUCUUGACGGUACCUAAUCAGAAAGCCACGGCUAACUACGUG